GCAACUCGACCCCACUGAAGUCGGAGUCGCUAGUAAUCGCAGAUCAGCAACGCUGCGGUGAAUACGUUCCCGGGCCUUGUACACACCGCCCGUCAAGUCACGAAAGUUGGUAACACCCGAAGCCGAUGGCCUAACCCGUUUGGGAGGGAGUCGUCGAAGGUGGGAUUGGCGAUUGGGACUAAGUCGUAACAAGGUAAC
RNAcentral lists this ribosomal RNA (198 nucleotides) under uncultured bacterium. RNAcentral's name for it is "partial 16S ribosomal RNA". It matches the Rfam family "Bacterial small subunit ribosomal RNA", at positions 1307 to 1500 of the family's 1533-position model. The record is from RNAcentral.